GUCCUUUUGUAGUUCACGGUCAUAAUGAUUGGGUGUUCAUGGGCACAUGUGAGCUAUGCCACCCGCUGAACCUUGUUAUGACAUCAGCACAUUACCUAUCUGACC
This is a small nucleolar RNA of Pongo abelii (Sumatran orangutan), 105 nucleotides long. Lineage: Eukaryota; Metazoa; Chordata; Mammalia; Primates; Hominidae. The record is from Ensembl.